Molecule: ribosomal RNA, 301 nt
Filed under: uncultured bacterium
Lineage: Bacteria
Description: partial 16S ribosomal RNA
Rfam family: Bacterial small subunit ribosomal RNA
Source: RNAcentral
CAGCAGCCGCGGGAAUACAGAGGGUGCAAGCGUUAAUCGGAAUUACUGGGCGUAAAGCGCGCGUAGGUGGUUUGUUAAGUUGGAUGUGAAAUCCCCGGGCUCAACCUGGGAACUGCAUCCAAAACUGGCAAGCUAGAGUAUGGUAGAGGGUGGUGGAAUUUCCUGUGUAGCGGUGAAAUGCGUAGAUAUAGGAAGGAACACCAGUGGCGAAGGCGACCACCUGGACUGAUACUGACACUGAGGUGCGAAAGCGUGGGGAGCAAACAGGAUUAGAUACCCCAGUAGUCCCUGUCUCUUAUAA